UACGAAGGGGGCUAGCGUUGCUCGGAAUCACUGGGCGUAAAGGGCGCGUAGGCGGCUUUAUAAGUCGGGGGUGAAAGCCUGUGGCUCAACCACAGAAUUGCCUUCGAUACUGUAGGGCUUGAGACCGGAAGAGGUUAGUGGAACUGCGAGUGUAGAGGUGAAAUUCGUAGAUAUUCGCAAGAACACCAGUGGCGAAGGCGGCUAACUGGUCCGGUUCUGACGCUGAGGCGCGAAAGCGUGGGGAGCAAACAGG
This 253-nucleotide ribosomal RNA is filed under the name uncultured bacterium. RNAcentral describes it as "partial 16S ribosomal RNA". It matches the Rfam family "Bacterial small subunit ribosomal RNA", at positions 524 to 776 of the family's 1533-position model. The record is from RNAcentral.